GCCUGGGUGGCUCAGUCGGUUUAAGCGUCUGACUUCAGCUCAGGUCAUGAUCUCCCAGUUUGUGGGUUCGAGUCCUGCAUCUGGCU
RNAcentral lists this transfer RNA (86 nucleotides) under Felis catus (domestic cat). It matches the Rfam family "tRNA". From Rfam's summary of the family: Transfer RNA (tRNA) molecules are approximately 80 nucleotides in length. Their secondary structure includes four short double-helical elements and three loops (D, anti-codon, and T loops). The record is from Rfam by way of RNAcentral. Lineage: Eukaryota; Metazoa; Chordata; Mammalia; Carnivora; Felidae.